This 68-nucleotide transfer RNA is filed under the name Neodon namchabarwaensis. RNAcentral's name for it is "Neodon sp. na XW-2022 tRNA-Pro". It matches the Rfam family "tRNA". From Rfam's summary of the family: Transfer RNA (tRNA) molecules are approximately 80 nucleotides in length. Lineage: Eukaryota; Metazoa; Chordata; Mammalia; Rodentia; Cricetidae. The record is from RNAcentral.
CAAGAAGUAGUUUAAGUAGAAUAUCAGCUUUGGGUGUUGAUGGUGGGGGGGUAGUCCUUCCUUCUUGA